Molecule: ribosomal RNA, 470 nt
Filed under: uncultured bacterium
Lineage: Bacteria
Description: SSU rRNA
Rfam family: Bacterial small subunit ribosomal RNA
Source: RNAcentral
AGGACGAACGCUGGCGGCGUGCUUAACACAUGCAAGUCGAGCGGAAAGGCCCUUCGGGGUACUCGAGCGGCGAACGGGUGAGUAACACGUGAGCAACCUGCCCUUAGCUCUGGGAUAGCUCCGGGAAACCGGAAUUAAUACCGGAUAUGACCUAGGCCGACAUCGGCCGUGGUGGAAAGUUUUUCGGCUAGGGAUGGACUCGCGGCCUAUCAGCUAGUUGGUGGGGUAAUGGCCUACCAAGGCGACGACGGGUAGCCGGCCUGAGAGGGCGACCGGCCACACUGGGACUGAGACACGGCCCAGACUCCUACGGGAGGCAGCAGUGGGAAUCUUGCGCAAUGGGCGAAAGCCUGACGCAGCGACGCCGCGUGGGGAUGAAGGCCUUCGGGUUGUAAACCCCUUUCAGCAGGGACGAAGCGAAAGUGACGGUACUGCAGAAGAGCGCCGGCUAACUACGCGCCAGCAGCCGC